UUGAGAGUUUGAUCCUGGCUCAGAACGAACGCUGGCGGCAGGCCUAACACAUGCAAGUCGAGCGAGAUCUUCGGAUCUAGCGGCGGACGGGUGAGUAACGCGUGGGAACGUGCCCUUCUCUACGGAAUAGUCCCGGGAAACUGGGUUUAAUACCGUAUACGCCCUUCGGGGGAAAGAUUUAUCGGAGAAGGAUCGGCCCGCGUUAGAUUAGAUAGUUGGUGGGGUAAUGGCCUACCAAGUCUACGAUCUAUAGCUGGUUUGAGAGGAUGAUCAGCCACACUGGGACUGAGACACGGCCCAGACUCCUACGGGAGGCAGCAG
Molecule: ribosomal RNA, 321 nt
Filed under: uncultured Nitzschia
Lineage: Eukaryota; Bacillariophyta; Bacillariophyceae; Bacillariales; Bacillariaceae
Description: partial Bacterial small subunit ribosomal RNA
Rfam family: Bacterial small subunit ribosomal RNA
Source: RNAcentral